AGUUUCGAGGUAGUGACGAGAAAUAACAAUACAGGGCAUUUUAUGCUCUGUAAUUGGAAUGAUGGGAAUGUAAAACCCUUCCAGAGUAACAAUUGGAGGGCAAGUCUGGUGCCAGCAGCCGCGGUAAUUCCAGCUCCAAUAGUGUAUAUUAGAGUUGUUGCAGUUAAAAAGCUCGUAGUUGGAUUUCUGUCGUGGUCAUCCGGCUCCGCCCGUAUGGGUGUGCGCCUGGUUUGCCCUCGGCUUUCUUCCGGUAGCCUUCCGCGCUUCACUGCGUGUGUUGGUGUUCUGGAACUUUUACUUUGAGAAAAAUAGAGUGUUUCAAGCAGGCUUGUCGCCCUGAAUACUUCAGCAUGGAAUAAUAAGAUAGGACCUUGGUUCUAUUUUGUUGGUUUCUAGGACCAAGGUAAUGGUUAAUAGGGA
Molecule: ribosomal RNA, 420 nt
Filed under: Eimeria jerfinica
Lineage: Eukaryota; Apicomplexa; Conoidasida; Eucoccidiorida; Eimeriidae
Description: SSU rRNA
Rfam family: Eukaryotic small subunit ribosomal RNA
Source: RNAcentral